Long non-coding RNA from Bos taurus (domestic cattle), 1228 nucleotides. The record is from Ensembl. Lineage: Eukaryota; Metazoa; Chordata; Mammalia; Artiodactyla; Bovidae.
UAGAGAAUGGCCACCCCGUGCCCUCUGGGCUCCUCUUUCCAAAUGCAGAUACCUCCCACCACCCCACCCCCACCCCCAUCCCCCUUCGGAGAGUGGACAGUCGUUCAGGCUUUAACCCUUUGGAGGAGCAAGAAAGGGAAAGCCAGAGCCCCCAGGCGACAAGGAAGGUGGGAGCCACUUCCCCCGCUGCCCACACCCGCCUCACCCACGCCCACGGCUGCGGUCAACAGAACACGAGGUGGGGUUGGAAAGCCCCGGGUUUCACCGGGCCUAACCGCCCACUUCUUUGCAAACGCGGCACGGUAAGAGCCGCUCUGCCUCGAGGUUCCCCGAUAUGGCCCUUCGUUUGGAUACUGGAACUCCCUUUCCAGCCAGAGCCCCGAGGCCGAGAAUCAGCCGCAGGAGGUGCGCUCCCUCAUCCCCACUACACACGCUGCAGCCACAGACCGCAGAAAUCCAGGGGACUGUUCAGCUGCACCUUCAUCUUAAGCAACAUGUGUGCAUUGAUGGAGCUUACCUGGUGCCAAGAGAGUGGUGAAAGGCAUGGAAAUAAGGUUUCCAGUGGAAAGAAUCUCGUCGACCAGCUUGGGACACAUCCUACUCUAACUAAGGGGACAGGUUUUAAAAUUGAAACAUGGUUUCAGGAGGCUUACCCUAUGAAUAGUGUUGGGGGACCACUACCAGGAACAGGUGUCUGCUAUUGAGUGAUGCUGGGCUUCCCUGGUGGCGCAGUGGUAGAAGACCCACCUGCCAAUGCAGGAGACUCGAGUUCAAUCCCCUGGAGAAGGAAAUGGCACCCCACUGCUGUAUUCUUGCCUGGGAAAUCCCAUGGACAGAGCAGCCUGUCUCUGUCCAAGAGGGCUACAGUCCAAGGGUUGGCAAAGACUCGGACAUGACUUAGUGACUAAAUAACAACAACAUAGAGUGAUGCUAUGACCUUUCAUUGGAAGCAUGCUUCUGUAAGAGUUGAGCAUGAGCACACUAUUGUUGAAUGAACGGAUAACUAGGAAGCUUUAAGGCAACCUCGUUAGAGCCCGUACUCUUGUCCCUUUCCCAAACUCCUUCAGUCUCCCAGUUCUAUAAAAACCUGCAAAUGAAGGAAGCAGGAUACACAGUGGUUAUUAGCAUACGUCUGGGUUAAAUUGUCUUAUUUUGGAUCCUGUCCUGGAGGACUUGAGCAAGUGAUGGAACCUACCUGAGCUGCAGGUUUCUCACCUCUAGAAUGGGG